This 305-nucleotide ribosomal RNA is filed under the name uncultured bacterium. RNAcentral describes it as "bacterial SSU rRNA". It matches the Rfam family "Bacterial small subunit ribosomal RNA", at positions 332 to 655 of the family's 1533-position model. The record is from RNAcentral.
CUUUGCCUACGGGGCGCAGCAGUGGGGGAUAUUGCACAAUGGGGGAAACCCUGAUGCAGCGACGCCGCGUGGGUGAAGAAGCGCCUCGGCGCGUAAAGCCCUGUCAGCAGGGAAGAAAAUGACGGUACCUGAAGAAGAAGCCCCGGCUAACUACGUGCCAGCAGCCGCGGUAAUACGUAGGGGGCAAGCGUUAUCCGGAUUUACUGGGUGUAAAGGGGGCGCAGACGGCGAUGCAAGCCAGGAGUGAAAGCCCGGUGCCCAACCCCGGGACUGCUCUUGGAACUGCGUGGCUAGCGUGUCGGCGG